Molecule: long non-coding RNA, 1428 nt
Organism: Triticum dicoccoides
Lineage: Eukaryota; Viridiplantae; Streptophyta; Magnoliopsida; Poales; Poaceae
Exons: 2
Source: RefSeq, a predicted model, not a curated record
GGAUCACAUCGCCUGUAUAGAAGAGGCCGAACAUGUGUUCCCGAGAUCCAUCAGACCGGCCCAUAAACACAUUUUCGGACGGCCUAAAUAACCCAACACGACCUUCUUCUCCUGCAGCCUCGCCGCCUCCUCCUGCAGCCCUGCCGCCGGCAUCCUCCCAUGACCCGUCGUCGGCCUCCUCCCACGGCCCGCCACCGGCUUCAUCCAGCGGAUCCACCGAUCGCCUCCUACCACGCCCCGCCGCCGGCCUCCUCCCAUGGACCCAUCGCUGGCCUCCUCCAGCGGCCCGCCGCCGGCUUCCUUCGGUGGAUCCGCCGCCGGCCUCCUCCCGCGGCCCACCGCCGGCCUCCUACCGCAGCCCCGCCACCAUCCUCAUCCCGCCCAAGCUAGCCAUGCGUGCCGCCCCCUUUGCAUCUUGCUUGCCACCGCGAACCAGCUCCGCCCGGCGAACUGCCCAAACACCGCGCCGUGCGCCACCAUCCACACUGCUAGUCGCUGCCCCCGCAAUCCAUCUUACUCGCCGUCUCUGCUAACCACCCCGAGAAGCCGACGCCAACGUCCUAGCAAACAAUUUCACAAGCUGCAAACCCCCUGCUAGGAACAAGAAAAGAGAGCUUCACAGGCAUGGCUCCCGUUGCUGGCACUGUUGGUGUGUGUCCCAUUUGUGCCACUGACGAUGUAUUAGUGUUGUUGGCUCGUGGUCAGAUCUAGUUUCAGCCGUUUUUGCCUUUGCCGUCCACAUGCACUUUUGGAUCCAUCAGGUUUGUGAUGUGCUAAUGAUUACUACUCCCUCCGUUCCAAAUUACUCGUCGCUGAAAUAGAUGUAUCUAGAACUAAAAUACAUCUAAAUACAUCUAUACGUGCGACAAGUAAUUCAGAACGGAGGGAGUACAUGUUUGUUAAGAUGCUCCUAUCAGGAUAUAGAGACAUGUAUGUUGUUGUUGCAGAGACCUGCAAGCAUGACGCAAGAGAAACCGAAUGAGAGAGAGCGAGAGGUGGAAGACAGAGUUUUGCGCUGCUGUAACAACUUGCAGCUUUUCUAUUUCAAUCUUAUUUAUCUGAACCUGCUAGGAGCUCCUGAAAAUCAGCAAAGAAAUGGCCGUGCUCGCCGAGCUUACAGGUCGUGCCAUCCCACGACGCUUGAACGUGCAUGAUCCCUACUUGCCCGCGGCGAGGAAUGCGUGACCCAUGCCAUCCCACGGCGAUCCCUAAGGCGAGCUGAAGACUAGCUAACUACCUAACUGAAUGCUAACUGAAACUGAACUCGUACGUGUACAUGCACACGCUGACGGUCAGUGUUAUUCAGAAAACUGUAAACUGAACGAACCGAAACUUGAGUGUGUGUGUGUGUGUGUGUGUGUGUGUGUGCAAAUUAUCCAACAAAUGUGUGUAUUUCUCCACGCAAUACAAAAUUGGUACUAUUUUUUA